ACUCAUCUACAUCCGAAUACGAAGCUAAUCUGCAAAUCCUCUACAAUAAGAAAUGAGAACUGCAAUUAACAUUCUCUUAUUCCUCUAAUGAAUCUGUAAUCUAACAUACAUACUACAGCAUCGAUUAUCGCUUUUAAAGUAGAGAGCUCGGCAUGAGCGGCAUUGGAAAUAAACAUUUAUGGUGGGAUUCAAAUUUGCAAGAAGAAGAAAGAUUGUGAAUUUGAUAAGCUACCAUCGUCCACAAGUCGAAGAAAGUUGGGAGCUGUUGCAGAAUGCACUCCUGAAUUGGAAAAUGUCGGAUGAGAAAUUGCAGAAAAAUGUGAUGGAAAGCCUCUUGAUAUGUUGAUAUAUAGUGUUGGAGGCAUCCUCGCUGUAAUUUCUUUAGGCUCAAAGACAUCUUAGAAAGAGGAAAGACUGAGUAAAAGUGUCCAAAAACUUGAGCCGGAAGUCCAAUAAAUCACAUCUGUGAGAUAAUUUACCUUACCACUUGCGACUGCGAGCCUGCUUUCUCUAUUUGGGGUUGUUUCCAAAAGACGCUGAAAUUUCAGCGUGGAAAUUGAUCUGCAUGUGUAUAGGAGCAGGGAGUAGGGUUCGUACAAUAAGAGCUUGAUUGUAGUUUGGAGGAAACUGCAGAGAAGUAUUUGAAGGAUCUUAUCCAUAGAAACUUAGUCAAAACUGACAAGUUUAAACUCAAUGGUAAGAAAAUGAGUCAAAAAUGAGAUUCUUUUGACUUCAAGACUGGACCACCUAAACAUCGUUAACCUACUUGGACUGCGUUCAUGAAAAUGGAGAGGCGAUGUUACUUUAUGAUUGCAUGUCACAGGGAAAUUUAUUUCACCAUCUCCACAAGUUGGGAAAUUCUUUAGUGUUUGAUAUUUCCCACUCAAGAUAGGGGCCCUUGGCAGUGAUUGUCACCCUAGUUAUCAGUUACCAUGAUGGUGAAAGUAACCUUUGGUUACCUGGACCCAAAUUACAUCUAAACUUAUUGAUUGUCAGACAAGUCUGAUGUAUACUCAUUUAGUGUCAUGUUGUUUGAAGUUUUUCAUGUGGUACCCCGACAAUAGAUAUGAGCUCAGUAGCAAAGUCGCUGAGCUUGGCGUCAGGUGUUAAAUUAUUUGAAGCAAGGAAAACUUGAAGAAAUAUUUGAUCCUAAUCUCAAUGGCCUAAUUGAUCCCGGAUUCUUUGCUCAAACAGCCAUUGCAUGCCUGAAUCACCGAGGGAUUGAUCGGCACCAAUGAGAGAUGUUGUUAAGAACUUUGAGUUGGCUAUGGGAGCUCCGAGCAGCUCGACCGUUUGAGCCUGGAUCUGGGAGAUUCUCUCAGAUUUUAGAAAAUUUAUAUUGUAGGAAAGAUUUGGUAAAGUCUACAAAGGUCUCGUUGAUAAAGGGCAAAAAACUGUUGCUGUAAAGAGGUUGAAAUCAAAUUCCAAGCCAGGAGUACGCAGGUUUUUGACUGAGAUCGAGGCACUUUUUGAGCUUCAACAUAUCAAUCUCGUCCCCAUGAUUGGCUAUUGCAGGGAGCAGAAGAAAUGAUUCCGAGCAUAUGCCCAACGGUACAUUGGCUGACCAUGUCUGCAGAAAUGCCAAGAGGAACAUAAAUUGUACCUCUCACAUGGAAACUGUGCCUUAAUGUCUGCAUAGACGCUGGUCGAGAUCUCGACUAUCUGCACACAAGCCACGAAGUCAUUUAUCGUGAUAAAAUUGGUAAAGGAGAUGCUAAAUGAGAUAAUAGAUUCAAGUCUGAGAAGAGGAGAUUCCUACCCAACAUCUUGAAGACGUUUGUGGAGGUUGCAGAAAAGUGCUUGCAUGCUAAACUGAAGUUUCGACCAACAAUGUCCCAAGUUGUGUAGCAUCUCGAGUUUGCACUUGAGCAGCAGGAGACAAGGAAUUCAGCUCUUGUUGCUAGAGGUGUAAGUCCAGCAAACAAAGACAUUAUUAUAUCAUCUGAAAGCCCUUGCCAAUUAGCAGAAGCCUAUGCAGAUAUGCAGACUGUUAAAUCUCCUCAAACCAAACUCGCUGAUUUGAAUUACUCUCAGCUGCUAGUAAAGAUUUGAGGAAACCAAAGAAGUAUAACCCGUUCCGGCAUGGCAUGUCUUGUGGCGCCAGGAUAUUCCAUCUGACUCGCUGGAAAUCUGCUUAGCACCCGCAAAUUCGUGGAACUAUGAUCUGAGCGAUUUCGCAGCUGCUGCCAAUGAAUUCUCAAGUCCAUGCAGAUACUUCUCACACCAUGAGAUGAAAACAGCAACUCAGGACUUCGGCGAUGAUUUUGUCAUCGGCAUGGGAGCAUUUGGGAAGGUGUAUAAAGGGAUACUGAUUGAUGACGGGGCCACCACUGUGGCAAUUAAAAAACUGAAUUCAUCAACCUUGGAAGCUGCCAGUGAACUCAUUGAAAUCCAGUUUUGGUCAAAGCUGAGGCACCAAAGCUUGGUAUCACUAAUCGGGUAUUGCAAUGACAAAGGGGAGAUGGCCUUAGUCCACAAUUACGUGGCCCAUGGCACUUUUCGCGAUCAUCUGUACAAUUCAAGAACCCCCCCCCCCCCCCCCCCCCCCUAACAUGGAAGCGAUGCCUCCAAAUAUGUGGUAUUGUUUGAAGUUUUAUGUGCGGGACCAGCAGUAGACCAUGAGCUAACGAGAGUGCAAGUGGGCAAAGUGGGCUACAUCAUGUUUCAAGGAAGGGAAACUUGAACAGAUUGUUGGAUCCUAAUCUCAAUGGCCAGGUUGGGCCCAAGUGCUUGAACAAGUUUGUCGAAACAGCCGUAGCAUGCCUCAGUGAAUUUGGGAUCGAUCGGCCAGCCUUUAGGGAUGUCAUUCGGAGCCUCGAGUCAGCAAUGCAGCUCCAAGAAGCCACCAGCAGAGAUGACGCUAACCUAUACCAAGAAGCCACUGUAAAUCAGAGUGCAAAAAUGGAAAAACACUUACAAAAGCUCCCUAUACUUUUAUUUUUAUUUCGUUAGAUCCUUGUACAAUUUUUUUGAUUUAACAUAUAAUUUUGUUGUAUCCUUAUUUAAAGGAUCUUAUAAGUCUGUUAAUUUUUCCAUUA
Long non-coding RNA from Salvia miltiorrhiza (redroot sage), 3038 nucleotides. RefSeq lists it as uncharacterized. Lineage: Eukaryota; Viridiplantae; Streptophyta; Magnoliopsida; Lamiales; Lamiaceae. The transcript has 6 exons. The record is from RefSeq and is a predicted model, not a curated record.